RNAcentral lists this ribosomal RNA (441 nucleotides) under uncultured bacterium. Its description in RNAcentral is "partial 16S ribosomal RNA". It matches the Rfam family "Bacterial small subunit ribosomal RNA", at positions 338 to 795 of the family's 1533-position model. The record is from RNAcentral.
CCUACGGGUGGCAGCAGUCGGGAAUAUUGCGCAAUGGAGGAAACUCUGACGCAGUGACGCCGCGUGCAGGAAGAAGGUUUUCGGAUUGUAAACUGCUUUAGACAGGGAAGAAACAAGACAGUACCUGUAAAAUAAGCUCCGGCUAACUACGUGCCAGCAGCCGCGGUAAUACGUAGGGAGCAAGCGUUAUCCGGAUUUAUUGGGUGUAAAGGGUGCGUAGACGGGAAGUCAAGUUGGUUGUGAAAUCCCUCGGCUUAACUGAGGAACUGCAACCAAAACUAACUUUCUUGAGUGCUGGAGAGGAAAGUGGAAUUCCUAGUGUAGCGGUGAAAUGCUUAGAUAUCACGAAGAACCCCGAUUGCGAAGGCAGCCUGCCGCAGCGUUACUGACGCUGAAGCUCGAAAGCGCGGGUAUCGAACAGGAUUAGAUACCCCGGUAGUC